Molecule: unclassified non-coding RNA, 321 nt
Filed under: Hevea brasiliensis (rubber tree)
Lineage: Eukaryota; Viridiplantae; Streptophyta; Magnoliopsida; Malpighiales; Euphorbiaceae
Source: RNAcentral
AUUUGCAACUGGAAUAGAAAAUAUAAGAGAUACUAUACCUUUCCCUAGGGCACCUGGUUCAGCUGAAUUUUGAUGGCAAAAUUUGUAAGAUAUGAUUUAAUUCUUCCUUGCGUCCUCUCGCUCUUCUGACUUUUACCCUCUCUCUCCUUUUGAUAACUAUUUGCUAAAUCUGUUGGCUUUCUCUCCCUGUCUUUGGCUUUGAAAUAAUAGCUUAACCUCUUAGGUAAAAUAUUGUCCCGGGUGAUAUGAUGACUGCCCUUAUCAGGCAUGAUUGGCGGAUUGCUAAAAAAAAGAGAGAGAGGGUAAAAGUCAGAAGAGCGA